This 1139-nucleotide long non-coding RNA is filed under the name Homo sapiens (human). RNAcentral's name for it is "HSALNT0037388". The record is from RNAcentral. Lineage: Eukaryota; Metazoa; Chordata; Mammalia; Primates; Hominidae.
CGAGGUCAGGAGAUUGGGACCAACCUGGCAAACAGGGUGAAACCCUGUCUCUACUAAAAAUACAAAAUACAAAAAAAAUCAGCCUGGCAUGGUGGCGGGCGCCUGUGGUCCCAGCUACUCUGGAGGCUGACGCAGGAGAAUGCCGUGAACCCGGGAGGCGGAGCUUGCAGAGAGCCGGAGAUCACGCCACUGCACUCCAGCCUGGGCUACAGAGCAAGACUCCGUCUCAAAAAAAACCAAAACAAAACAAAACAAAAAAAACACCCAGUUUUUCCAUGGAGUGAUAGAAUUUAAUUGAUGAGCUUGACGAGCUUAAUUACAGAAGGGAGAGCUCCAAAAUACAUGAUCCAGCAUUUGUGAAAAUCACAGAAGAUCAUAUGAGAAGGCACCAUUUUAAUGAAAGAACAAGAAACCUGAAAUUCAAUAACAAAGCCUGAAGGCUAGAAAAGGUUAUGAAAUAGCCCAUGAUAAGCACAGGUGGAAAAUUGACACAAAGAGUUUUCUGCUAUGCCAAAUAAAUUUUGUUGUCUUUGUGUGUGUGUAUGCUGCGUAUCUUAAAACCAUAACAUUUUCACUGACAUUGAAUCAUCCUCCUCAGUAACUGAGGGAAACUUCCUUGGGAACCCACCUUAAAUUUUACCAUCUUUGGCAGCUUUUGAAAUGACUCUAUCUUCAAAUUCUUGAAUUUCCACAUUCUCUUCUCUGACUUUACCUUUGAUUAUUUUGCUCUCAGUAAAUCUGCAUCUCAGUCUUCCUCUUCUCAGUUCUAUCCUAGUGUACCAGCCCAUUAACCCCUGUUUGAUUUUAUUUGGCUCUCUUCCUCCAUGGGGCUACACGUAAGCCUCAUGCUCAUUGUAGUCCCUGUCUCUCUUCAACACUGGUAUCUUACCACCUCUCCAUAACUUCCCACUAUUUCUUUCUUGCCAAUCAUCAACCCUGUGUAAUAUCUACUGUCUUAUUUUCUUUGACGCUAGAAAUCAAGGCCCUGAUGGUCAAAGGCAUUAAACAAUCUAUGGGUUUGCCAUAAGUGCAUUAUGUGGUUUAUUAUUUUGCAGAUAUUUAAUGUGGUACAUGAUAAAAUGUUACUUUUUCUACUAAUCUUAUUUAUGUAGCCGAAAAUCUAGAAAAAUGUUUUUCUU